UAUCCGUCAGAGAGGUCUGGUUCCAUGAAAAAUCCAACAGUGGGUUGACCGACAGUGGAGUUCGGAUGGCGUUGUGGGGGUUUGUCCACUGGAGGAGUCUUGAGGACACUGUGGAAGGUUGAACGUUGGAGGGGUCCGAGAUUCAAUAUUCAAUUCUACUGUAGAAGUUCGGACGGAGUCCAACUUUUGUAGGAGUCUGAAAGGAGGCCGCUUAUUGUAGAAGCUCGGACGAAGACCAGUUAUCGUGGAAGCUCGAAUGGAGACUUCUUAUUAUAGAAGUCCUGCUGCUGGAGAAGCUCGAUCAUUGAUGAAGUUCAGAAGA
RNAcentral lists this long non-coding RNA (322 nucleotides) under Elaeis guineensis (African oil palm). RNAcentral's name for it is "long non-coding RNA (EGUI_LNC050475)". The record is from RNAcentral. Lineage: Eukaryota; Viridiplantae; Streptophyta; Magnoliopsida; Arecales; Arecaceae.